AGUUAAAAAUUUUACCCCUUUGUAUUGUUAAAAACUGGUGUGGCUGACAAAAUAAUCAGAUAGUGACAUGUGACGUGCCAUGUGUACUACAUGUUAACAUAAAAGGACCAAUUUUUAAUAAUAGAAAUAAAUAAUUUGAUCAAAA
This is a non-coding RNA of Gossypium raimondii (Peruvian cotton), 145 nucleotides long. Lineage: Eukaryota; Viridiplantae; Streptophyta; Magnoliopsida; Malvales; Malvaceae. The record is from Rfam.